Molecule: unclassified non-coding RNA, 2037 nt
Filed under: uncultured fungus
Lineage: Eukaryota; Fungi
Description: sequence contains 18S rRNA gene, ITS1, 5.8S rRNA gene, ITS2, 28S rRNA gene
Rfam family: Eukaryotic large subunit ribosomal RNA (bases 903-2037)
Source: RNAcentral
GGAAGGAUCAUUAUCGAGCGUACGCUCGUAUAACGAGAGAGAGAGAAUUGGGUUUGCUGGUAGAUUCAUACGGUAGGCGCUUCGCGCAAUCCCGGUCCAGCAAACUAACAGAAUCAGACUAGCCGUAUUGUGAUGGUGUCGUAGUUGGUAUAAGUGAGCUACCAACCUGCUUCAUUUGCGACACCAUUAACGGUACACAGUCUAGUGGUGAUUCUCGCGACCUUGGGUGUAAACGUGGGUACCUAUCUGUGUAUGGCUCGUGGCUCAUAUCCCUGGCUGCGUGACCAAUAGUCAUACCAGUAAACCGCUUUGGCGGGAAGGUUCAAAGAGUUUCAAUGGAGAGGUAUUGGAAUAAUACCACGCUUACUCGUGCACAUGAAUGGUGCAUCAUUGAAACCGCCCACAAACCUUCUUUUUUUAAACUAUUCAAUAUGAAAAAUAGAUUUGGCUUGGCCAUUUCUAUAAAAAACAAUUCUGAGCGGUGGAUCACUUGGCUCGUGGGUCGAUGAAGAACGCAGCUAGCUGCGUGAAUUAAUGUGAAUUGCAGACACAUUGAACAUCGACAUUUCGAACGCACAUUGCGGCAUUGGGCUUUCCCGAUGCUACGCCUGUCUGAGGGUCGCAUUUGUGGCAGCAUAUGGUGUCUUACCCUGUAACGGAUCAUGUUACACUGAUUCUAGACGCCCUAUUGGAUUGCUGACGUUGUGAUUUUUGACGGUUUCCGUCAUGUUCAACGUUACCAGUCUUGAGAAACUAAUAAAGGCCAUUGGAGAGUUGCGAAAGCAAAUGGCCAUUUGUAGAACCAUUCGGUGUGAUCAGACACUGGAGUCUGCUCUCGUUGCGUGAUUAUAUUUGCGAUUAGAGCAAAAAGUAGUGUCAUUGCCGAUUUGGUUUCAAUUUCUCGACCUCAGAUCAGACGUGAGUACCCGCUGAAUUUAAGCAUAUUAUUAGGCGGAGGAAAAGAAACUAACAAGGAUUCCCAUAGUAACGGCGAGUGAACUGGGAAUAGCUCAGCGCUGAAUCUUGCAGUCCGGGACUGUCAAGAAAUGUAGCGUUUGGGUAACCUUUUCUGGUAUUGUCAAGCUUUCUGAGUCCCCUUGAACGGGGCCACUGCCCAUAGCGGGUGCAAGGCCCAUGCGAAAGUAGACUCUACCAGUAUAAGGUAUACCUUAGAGUCGGGUUGCUUGAGAGUGCAGCCCAAAUGCGUGGUAAACUCCAUGCAAAGCUAAAUAUAACCACGAGACCGAUAGCAAACAAGUACCGUGAGGGAAAGUUGCAAAGAACUUUGAAGAGAGAGUUAAAAGGGCGUGAAACCGCUUGGAAGUAAACGGGUGGAGCUGCAAUGCAGUCUACAGGAUUCAAUUUGUCGGUGGUACAUCGAGUGGCAAACGAUCGCAAGACGUGAACCGUUCGCAUGUGCUUAUCGGUGAAUGUAUUUUCUGUAGACGAGCGUCACGACCGAUUGACCUGCUAACAGAAAGGUGGAAUGAUUGCAGACUGAUGCCUUCGGGUGUCAGUGACUCGUCAACCACUCUGUUUGAGUCAGGACGAUCGAGAAUAGACCGCGUCGGCUCGUCGCAUGUGUAUUGUGCAUAUGGACUGAAUUCUAACUUGUAAUUCAUGCUUGCAUGAUUUGCAGACCCUCAGUUCAGACUGCCUUUACAUUAUGCAUUGACGCAUAUGGUCUGUGGCGUCUGUGUCAGUUACCCACCCGACCCGUCUUGAAACACGGACCAAGGAGUCUAACAUGUGCGCAAGUCAUUGGGUUUAAAACCCAAAGGCGUAAUGAAAGUGAAGCAUAGUGGGAUUCCUUGUCUUCGGACUUGGACGCACCACUGUCCCGUCUGAUCUGCAUGUCAGAUAGGCGGAGAAUGAGCGUACACGUUGGGACCCGAAAGAUGGUGAACUAUGCCUGAGCAGGAUGAAGCCAGAGGAAACUCUGGUGGAAGUCCGUAGCGGUUCUGACGUGCAAAUCGAUCGUCAGACUUGGGUAUAGGGGCGAAAGACUAAUCGAACCAUCUAGUAGCUGGUUCCCUC